GGGCGGGCUCCUGACUUGUAAUUUCCUCACUUUAUUGUCUUUCAGUUGUUCACCUUGUUGCUUGACUUUUAAUUUCUUCACCCUGUUCUUCAGGCAGGCUCCUGAUUUGUAAUUUCAUCACCUUAUUGCUUGACUUUCAAUUUCUUCACUUUGUUCUAUGGGCGAGCUCCCGACUUUCAAUUUUAUAACCCCUAUUCUUUGGGCAGAGACCCCGACUUGUAAUUUCCUCACUCUUGUUCUCUUGACAAGCCCCCGACUUUCUAUUUUAUCACCCUUAUUCUUCAGGUGGGCCCCCC
Molecule: long non-coding RNA, 296 nt
Filed under: Capsicum annuum
Lineage: Eukaryota; Viridiplantae; Streptophyta; Magnoliopsida; Solanales; Solanaceae
Description: long non-coding RNA (CANN_LNC015653)
Source: RNAcentral